UUGAUUCAUUCUGUAAUGAUUCCACUCAGACAUGCCACAAUGUGCGAAAUACAAGAGGUUUGGGGUCCCUCGGCGGGCGCCUGGAUCCGGGGCCGGGGCGAAGACCCGCCGAAGCAACGGUGUAAAGGUAUAGGUUCACAGUGGGUUUGGGAGUUGUAAACUCGGUAAUGAUCCCUCCGCUGGUUCACCAACGGAGA
This 197-nucleotide unclassified non-coding RNA is filed under the name uncultured fungus. RNAcentral's name for it is "sequence contains ITS1". The record is from RNAcentral. Lineage: Eukaryota; Fungi.